Molecule: long non-coding RNA, 1069 nt
Organism: Melozone crissalis (California towhee)
Lineage: Eukaryota; Metazoa; Chordata; Aves; Passeriformes; Passerellidae
Exons: 5
Source: RefSeq, a predicted model, not a curated record
CGGGGCCGGAGCCGUGCGCGCCCCGCGGCUUUUCUGGGAGGGCGGCGGGGCCCUGGCGGGGCUGUGGUUUGGCAGCGCCUCGGGGAGAAGGGCACGGUCCCCGCAGCCGUGACUGGGCUGUAACGGGGAGCCGGACGCUGCCCGGCCGCGUGGUCGGGGCCGGCUGCUGGCAAAGGGGCCGGGGUCCCCGCCCUUUCCGGGCUGCGCUGUGCGCUUGGGGAGACCUUUGGGUGUCUGCGGGCACGGACGAGGCGUUCCGGAGCUCGGGCCCAGGGGAUUCAGCUGCAGGGAGGCUGCAGAGAAGGCUGCUCGGCACUGCUCCCCAAAAUGGACCCUCCCCGAAUGGGGUCUCGCAGAGGAUGGAGCAAUUGCAGCCACCGGGUCAUUGCUGUGAAAUUCGGAAGCAGCACAGGGGACUGGCCGAGGGGCUCAGCCUGGGCACGGCCCCAGCAGGAGCAGCCCUGGGCACACUGGCACAGGAGGAUGAGCCCAGGUGAGGAGCACGGCCCCAGCGUGGCACCAAGAGGCGCUGGCACAGGAGGAUGAGCCCAGACAGAGGAGACGCUGCUGCACCACGUCCCUGCAGAGCCCCGCCUCCCUCCUGCUCUCAGGGCUGGGACUGGGAGCCACCUCCGUGCAGACAGAGAGCGGCCCCUGGUCUGGCUUCACUCCCCGAGGGAAGAGGCUGCUCAGAGCUCCUGGUUAGGGACAUCCACGCCUGCGCCUGGCUGGCAAUCCGGGGUGCACCAGUUCCAGAUCCAGCCACGAGAGGUUCCUGCUGCAGCUGCAGGUGUUACCCAGUCCAGCUUGCUGAACCCCCAGCUCUGGCUGUGGCGUGUUCUUCAUUCCAGCUCUGGAACUGAGAUGCUGCAGUUGAUGGCUGCUCCAGUUCCUUCCAGCUCUGCCUUAAUAACUGCUGCUUUUUGUUACAAGCCACUUUAAAGCUCCAGCUAAUUGCGGUUAUCUGGGCUUUUGGCCAAGUUGUACAUGACUCACUGUCAUCAAUUACAUAUAGCUAUUGACUUUGUUAUAACUAUUAACUAUUUAUUGUCAUAAAGUUAUUGUUUAA